Long non-coding RNA from Pomacea canaliculata, 645 nucleotides. RefSeq lists it as uncharacterized. The transcript has 3 exons. Lineage: Eukaryota; Metazoa; Mollusca; Gastropoda; Architaenioglossa; Ampullariidae. The record is from RefSeq and is a predicted model, not a curated record.
AAGAAUAAACAGACAUGGUGGCAGGUAAGGAAGAAUAAACAGACAUGGAGGCAGGUAAGGAAGAAUAAACAGAUAUGGAGCUAGAGAGGGUAAUGUGAUCAGACAAGAAGCUAGGUAAGAACGAAUGAACAGACAUGGAACUAGGUAAGACAGAAUGAUCAGACAUGGAGCUAGAGAGGGUAAUGUGAUCAGACAAGAAGCUAGGUAAGAAAGAGUGAACAGACAUGGAUACAGGUGAGGAAGAAUAAACAGACAUGGAGCUAGGUAAGACAGAAUGAUCAGACAUGGAACUAGAAAGAGUAAUGUGAUCAGACAAGAAGCUAGGUAAGGAAGAGUGAUCAGACAUGGAUACAGGUAAGGAAGAAUAAACAGACAUGGAGCUAGGUAAGACAGAAUGAUCAGACAUCAGGCUAGGUAAGGAAGAGUGAUCAGACAUGGAACUAGGUAGGACAGAAUGAUCAGAAAUGGAACUAGAGAGGGUAAUGUGAUCAGACAUGGAGCUAGAGAGGGUAAUGUGAUCAGACAUGGAACUAGAGAGGGUAAUGUGAUCCGACAUGGAACUAGAGAGGGUAAUGUGAUCAGACAAGAAGCUAGGUAAGGAAGAGUGAUCAGACAUGGAACUAGAGAGGGUAAUGUGAUCAGACA